GAUGAACGCUGGCGGCGUGCCUAAUACAUGCAAGUCGAGCGAACGGACGAGAAGCUUGCUUCUCUGAUGUUAGCGGCGGACGGGUGAGUAACACGUGGAUAACCUACCUAUAAGACUGGGAUAACUUCGGGAAACCGGAGCUAAUAACGGAUGAUAUUUUGAACCGCAUGGUUCAAAAGUGAAAGACGGUCUUGCUGUCACUUAUAGAUGGAUCCGCGCUGCAUUAGCUAGUUGGUAAGGUAACGGCUUACCAAGGCAACGAUGCAUAGCCGACCUGAGAGGGUGAUCGGCCACACUGGAACUGAGACACGGUCCAGACUCCUACGGGAGGCAGCAGUAGGGAAUCUUCCGCAAUGGGCGAAAGCCUGACGGAGCAACGCCGCGUGAGUGAUGAAGGUCUUCGGAUCGUAAAACUCUGUUAUUAGGGAAGAACAUAUGUGUAAGUAACUGUGCACAUCUUGACGGUACCUAAUCAGAAAGCCACGGCUAACUACGUG
Molecule: ribosomal RNA, 497 nt
Filed under: uncultured bacterium
Lineage: Bacteria
Description: partial 16S ribosomal RNA
Rfam family: Bacterial small subunit ribosomal RNA
Source: RNAcentral